AUCUACGGCCAUGCCACCCUGAACAAGCCCGAUCCCAUCUGAUCUCGGAAGCUAAGCAGGGUCGGGCCUGGUUAGUACUUGGAUGGGAGACCACUUAGGAAGACCGGGUGCUGUAGGCA
Molecule: ribosomal RNA, 119 nt
Filed under: Pteropus alecto (black flying fox)
Lineage: Eukaryota; Metazoa; Chordata; Mammalia; Chiroptera; Pteropodidae
Source: RNAcentral